ACAUACCUACUUUUAUCUACCGAAUAUUUGAACCCUCAACUUUCUAUAUUUUAAAAAAAAAAAAACAAAAAAAUAUGAACAAACUCAAAUUGAACUUUUGAUUGAGCUAAACAACUCGUUCAUUCUGCAGCACUGCAUGGGAGGGUUUCUUUUUAAAUAUAAGGAGAUAUUUAUGUAAAUUCGCCAAACAAUGGGAGAGCUCAAUAAUAAUAUCUACCCAUCUAUUUUUAAAUGUUUUCACUCAUAUGGAUGAUGUUUAACUAUGUUUUAGAAAUAAACAGACAACGUGCACGGUAAAGAUUAUGCUUCGCUAACUGAUGGCACCAUCUUAUGAGAACCGUCCGUCAGAUCUCGCCGUUGUCCUCAUCAGUCAUCACAAUGGCCGUACAUUCUCGCCGGAAAGUUGACAUAUAUCCAUCCAAUCGAACAUCGAACGGUCGUUGAAGUAUUUUGUGAAAAAAAGAAGCUCCGCAUGUUUGGCUUACUAUGACGGACUGUUUAACUAAAUUGUUAUAAAAUUUUUACUAAACUAUCAUAGUGCAUUCUUGAUGUCCACAAAUCCAUUUUGAGGGUCCGAGUGAAUUCCAUUAUUUAUACUUUUAUGGGGACGGAAGUGGAAGGAAUCAGAUUGCUGAGUAAAUAAAUAGAACCAGAGACAUGGUACGUUUCGAACCCCUUCGUUGAAAAUUUAGUUUUGCAUAUAAGAUGAGAAUUUGUUUUUUAAGUAACUGCAUGUAUUUUAAGUAUAAUGUAUCAUACAUUAUUUAUAUUCUUCAUGUUGGUGUUUCUUGUCAUAAAUUUUGCACGUGAAGAUUCUAUAGUACUGCUGAAUUUCGAAUCACCUGUGGGCAUGGGGUGCAUAGCCCAAUUAACAAAGUGUGACGUUGGAACCUUUUUUUUUUGGGUUGCCAACUCCUUUAUUGGAACAAAAUUUAUGAAACAGACUGAUGUGGAUUUUUAUAUUUGUCAUCUUAUUAGUAUGUUCUUUUGUAUAUAUAUUUUUCCUCCUUUCUAUUGUCACUUGACCAGACCUAUGGAAUAUUUUUUUCCCUAAGACCUAUGGGAUAUGACUCAUUGCUAAUACAUAUUACGGUGCUAAUAAAGGCUCUGAAUCAUAUGAAAGUAUCUAUGCGUGUACUGUCAGAAAAACCUUAGAUUAUUGGUGUGACACCAUUGCAGCCAAGACUUGGAUGCUACUUGCUAUGUCAUAUUGGCGGGGAGUAUGUGUGCUUUCUUCCGUGGCUUCGUCUUAUUUCCUUAAGUUGGGGCCACACCUCUGCUUCUUGCAAGAAAACUGAGUUGCCCUAGUUAGCUGUUAAUUGGAAACGCAAGAUUGCCCUUGUACUCAACUUUGUUUUUCUUUUUCAUUCGAUUGAUCCUCACUUUCUUUAUGCUGAUUAUUGACCACGGUUGACUUGUCAAAGCCAUAGUAGCACGCACUGACAUUUCAUUUACAUUACAUUUGGUAGGAGGGAAGGAAGGAGGGAAGGAUUGAUGGAGCGAGUCUCCAUUUUUUGGUACAAAAGAAAAUUGGAGGGAGGGUAAGGAUGGACAGAUGAGACAUUCCUCUUCGCACUAUUCUCAUCCCUCCAUAAUUGGAUCGAAGAGAGGAGAGAAGAGAUGGAUAACUAUUGGAUAUAAAUUGAAGUGUCCUUUUUACUCUUUAUCUAUUUUUGUCAAAUUAUAUAAUGAGGGCAUUGUGAUAAAUAAUUAUAAAACUUAUCGUUCCCUACCCUCUUACUAUCACAUCAUUCUAUUCUUUUCCACUCAACCAAACAACAUUUCCUUCCCUAGGAAUGUGUUAUCCGUUCUUCCUACACUUCUCCCAUCCAAUUUUCUAUCAGUACCGAACAAGCAGUAAAGAGAACAAUGGGAUAGGAGUUCAAUUCUUAUAAUUGGCUAAAAAUAAGCGAGAAGAAGAGCUUGAUCUUAGACCAUAACACAAUUAUGAAAUGCCCAAUUUCCACAUAUUUCUUCUUGGUAAGCGUUUUGAUAUGUACAACUAUAAUAUUAGUUUUAGCAUUUGUGAUAUAUACAUUUAUAUUAUAUUGCUAGAGUUACAUAUCUAAAUAGUCUUUAUUUAUGUGAAUGCAUAGUUAAAUUAUUCUACCUACUUAACUUUUACUUUUAGACGCGCAAUGUGAGCUAAUCAAGUGGCACAAAAUUGGUUUUUAGAAUUGCCAAUUAAUGGAACUCUUGAUGAAUAGUGUGGGCUUGGUUUAGCUGCAAGUUUCAAAAUUAAUAAACAAGCUCAACUCAACCUUUGUUUUCAGGGUCGUAGAGGAAACGAGCCGAGCAUGAGCAACACCUAGCUUUGCUCAUAUAUGCUUAUGAAUAUUGGCCAGAAUGUUUAUUUAGGAUAUUAUUGCAAGGAUGCUAGUCUAAUAAGGUUACUUAGGCUAAUUAAGUGAACAUUGGAGAUUGGGUCAAAUGGAGAAGAAUAUAUGAAGGGAUGACUCAAAUGUGAACCCAUCAAAUGCACACACAUCUUACUUCACAUAAAAUCAACACCAGCACACCAUCAUCUCUUUUAUUUAUUGAAUUGCUUUUUCCUUCUCAUUCUCUCUCUACUUUCCAUUUCCUUCCACAAUCUUUUGGUCCUCAAAAUAUGAUUCUGCAUUUACCUAUAUUAAAGUUGCUUUGACAUUCAUCUUUAAAUUUUAAGAUUCAAAACAGUUGAAGGGAUUGGGAACAAAAGAGAAAGUUCUAUGUAAUCUUGAUGGCAUGCUUGUAAGUACAUUAUUUUUAUAGGUACUGAGUUUUCAUAGUUAUUCUAAUGUUAAUAGUUAUUAUUUAUGAUAGUCAUUUCAGAACAAAGGUUUUUGGAUGUCAAAGGAUCCCGGAUGUUUAACUGAUGGCAAGAUAUCCUACGAAAAUUCCUCCAGAAUUGAGCCAAAGCACCCUCAUCAGUGGUUCAUGGAUGGUACUGAAGUAGAGCUAUUUCCCAAGAAGAAGGAAGCAGUUGAAGUUUCAAGCCACAAUUCAUUCUCUGGACUUCUAAAUUUAAAUGCCUGUCCUUGGGGAAAUGCUUCUGGUUUUCAUUCAGUUGUUGGUCAACAUGGUGAACGGUUAUUUGACCCUGAAACUGCAAGGACCAUCAACUUUGAUGACAUAAACAUUCCAUCAGUUGGCACAAGCAAUAUCAAUAUGGAAAAAAGGGAAUAAAGGAUUCAUUUGGGAGUGAUUCUUCAUUUGGUUUAUCUAUAUCUGAUACUCUGGAAGAUUCUAGAUCAGGAGGUAUUAAUUAUGGUGGGAUUGGAAAAGUUAAAGUCAGCCAAGUCUAGGACACUGAGAAUUUCAUGUCUAUGUCAAUGGGGAAUGCCUUUAGUGGAAGGGAUAACAAUACUAUGUCAAUUCCUCAAGCUUAUACCAAGGCUGCUGACAAUAUGAUAGCAAGUCUUUCUUUUAACAGGGGGGAUGACAAUGUCCUAUCAAUGGAUGGCACGUACAACACGGGUGAUAAUAAUUUCAUAUGAUGACAACACCAUAUUGAUGGGCCAUACAUUCAAUGAGAAAGAAAAUGACUUAUCAAUGGGUCUGUCUUUCAGCAAGGGUGAUGACAAUAUCACAACAUUGGGUCAAACUUUCUGCAAAUAUGACAGCAGUAUCACAACAAUGGAUCAAACCUUCAAUAAGAAUAUUGAUGGCUCCUACCUUUAGGGAGAACAAUAAUACUGUAUCAAUGGGUCAAUCUUUCAGCAAGGGUAAUAACUUGAUCACAUCAAUUGGUUGACAAUACCAUAUUGAUGGGUCACCCCUACAACAAAGUGGAUAAUACUACCAUAACAGUGGGCCACACCUUAAGCAAAAUUGAGAACAGUAAUUUAUCAAUGAGCCAUUCUUUCAGCUAGGGAGAGACUAAUAUCAUAUCCUUUGGUGGCUUUCAUGAUGAUGGUGAUAUAAAUUCUUUGGGACGGCUCAUAUGCAGUUACGAUAUGUUGAUGGGUCAGGCUUCAGCUCAAAAUCAGAAGCAUUAACUAAAGAAGGAUUGAUUAAAUCAAACAACUAUGCACAUUUAAGUGCUGCCCAGAUGACAGCCUCUGGAGCUGAACCUGUUUCUAAUGAGGAUGAGCAAAAAGGGGGCCAAGAAGGUUCCUCCAAACAAUUUCCCUUAAAAUGUCAGAUGUUUGCUGUCAACUGGUAUGCUAGAUGGUGUUCCUGUGAAGCAUAUUGCCUGGUCACAGGAGGUAAAUCUUACUUUCACGCAUUCCUCUUGCAAUCCCCUUAUCAUUUGGUGACACCUGUGGUUGUUCCUAUUUUUGGUAGAAGUCACAAAAGGUUCUAGUUAUCUGUGGGGCUGUCAAUCAUGUAAAUUUUCUAAGGUCAGUUUGGUAUUAAAUUCUUGGUUAUAUGAAGGGAAUUUUGAGCCUAUUCUGCUGACAUGAAGACCAAUUAUUGGUGUUAUAGGCAAUCAAUGCUUAUGAGUUUGAGCAUCAUGCUGGUUGCAAAACAAAACACCCAAAUAAUCAUAUAUAAUUUGAGAAUGGGAAGACUAUUUAUGGGAUUGUUCAGGAGCUCAGGAACACCCCUCAGAAUUUGUUAUUUGAGGUUAUCCAGACCAUAACUGGAUCUCCCAUUAACCAAAAAGCUUUCCGUCUUUGGAAAGAAUCAUUCCUAGCCGCUACUCAUGAACUUCAGCGUAUAUACGGAAAAGAUGAAGGAAAACAAUUGUCAUAAAGCUGCUGGUUCAAAUUCUAAGAUGGGUUGACGGUGAUGAUCUCAUGAUAAGAAUCUUUCUCUCCAUUGGUGCCUGCAUCCAUCGUUUGCUUAUCUUGUGUUGCUUGCUCAUCAAUUGAUGGGGAUGAGGACUUGUAAUCCUUGCUUUUUCCCCAGACAACAAGGUUUGGAUUACUGUGGCAAAUCAUUUUAGCCUUUGCAUAUUCAGCUGCUAGACUUGUGGUCUUGAGCUAAAAUAGAGUUGCAUCCGAGCCCAGGUCCUCGGUAAGCUUUGUUGACACAAAAUAACUUCGUAAUUUUUUUUUUU
Long non-coding RNA from Cornus florida, 4984 nucleotides. RefSeq lists it as uncharacterized. The transcript has 5 exons. Lineage: Eukaryota; Viridiplantae; Streptophyta; Magnoliopsida; Cornales; Cornaceae. The record is from RefSeq and is a predicted model, not a curated record.